GAUGAACGCUAGCGGCGUGCCUAAUACAUGCAAGUCGAGCGAACGGACGAGAAGCUUGCUUCUCUGAUGUUAGCGGCGGACGGGUGAGUAACACGUGGAUAACCUACCUAUAAGACUGGGAUAACUUCGGGAAACCGGAGCUAAUACCGGAUGAUAUUUUGAAUCGCAUGGUUCAAAAGUGAAAGACGGUCUUUCUGUCACUUAUAGAUGGAUCCGCGCUGCAUUAACUAGUUGGUAAGGUAACGGCUUACCAAGGCAACGAUGCAUAGCCGACCUGAAAGGGUGAUCGGCCAGCCUGGAACUGAGGCACGGUCCAGACUCCGACGGGAGGCAACAGUAGGGAAUCUUCCGCAAUGGGCGAGAGCCUAACAGAGCAACGCCGCGUGAGUGAUGAAGGUGUUCGGAUCGUAAAACUCUGUUAUUAGGGAAGAACAUAUGUGUAAGUAACUGUGCACAUCUUGACGGUACCUAAUCAGAAAGCCACGGCUAACUACGUG
Molecule: ribosomal RNA, 497 nt
Filed under: uncultured bacterium
Lineage: Bacteria
Description: partial 16S ribosomal RNA
Rfam family: Bacterial small subunit ribosomal RNA
Source: RNAcentral